UGAAGGUAAAGAUUCCAAAGACGGCUGUCAAAAUGAGUUUGCUGCUCAGAUGGUGUCACAAUUUUCCACACAAGACAACAAUAAACUUGUUUAGAACGAAAAGGGCAUAAGUGAUUUAUCAUACCUUCGACUAGAACUAGAGGCAGAGACAAAAGGUGCUUUGAGGAGAGCACAGACCCCGUAAUGACACCCCGAUGAAAAGCACAUCCAAUGAGGAUCAUCGUCUGUAACCCGCCGAAUCGCCUGCCAUUUCCCAUAAGCCAACCAUUCCUGGGAGCCGCAGUACCUGGGACGUUGGGGGAUGUGAAGGCUGUGAGCGUCAUACAGACGGGCUGGUCCUAGCAUACUGGAACCCGUGGGAGCAGUCUCAAGAAGAGCACCAGGAAGACAGAUGCAGUGCAUGGCGAGGACUGAUAACAUCUGCCAGGGAGUUUGGUGGAACAGAACACCUUGUGACCCCUUGACCCUUCUUUCAAGACCACCCCAUGUGGAGCUGUGCCCCAGUGCUGGGGAUGUUGGAAAACUCAUCGUUCCACCAGCCGAAUCGUAUAUCAACCACCUCUGCAAAAUGCUAUAACACUUUGUCCUCACACCUCUGAAGAUAAACUUGUGUCUUUUGUUUUGAUCUAGGAUAUUUUUUCUUUUUCAAUUUAAAAUACUACUUACGAUAGAG
Gadus morhua (Atlantic cod) is the source of this 673-nucleotide long non-coding RNA. RefSeq lists it as uncharacterized. The transcript is spliced from 3 exons. The record is from RefSeq and is a predicted model, not a curated record. NCBI's taxonomy places the organism in Eukaryota, Metazoa, Chordata, Actinopteri, Gadiformes, Gadidae.